RNAcentral lists this transfer RNA (91 nucleotides) under Canis lupus familiaris (dog). It matches the Rfam family "tRNA". Rfam says of the family: Transfer RNA (tRNA) molecules are approximately 80 nucleotides in length. Their secondary structure includes four short double-helical elements and three loops (D, anti-codon, and T loops). Lineage: Eukaryota; Metazoa; Chordata; Mammalia; Carnivora; Canidae. RNAcentral also lists the same sequence under 1 other name. The record is from Rfam by way of RNAcentral.
GCUUGAGUGGCUCAGUCAGUUGAGCAUUGGACUCUUGAUUUUGGCUCAGGUCACAAUCUCAGGCUUGUGGGAUCAAGCCCCACCUCAGGCU